Molecule: ribosomal RNA, 253 nt
Filed under: uncultured bacterium
Lineage: Bacteria
Description: partial 16S ribosomal RNA
Rfam family: Bacterial small subunit ribosomal RNA
Source: RNAcentral
UACGAAGGGGGCUAGCGUUGUUCGGAAUUACUGGGCGUAAAGCGUGCGCAGGCGGUUAUUCAAGGCAGAGGUGAAAGCCCCGGGCUCAACCCGGGAAUGGCCUUUGAGACUGGAUAGCUAGAGUGUGAGAGAGGUGAGUGGAAUUCCCAGUGUAGAGGUGAAAUUCGUAGAUAUUGGGAAGAACACCCGUGGCGAAGGCGGCUCACUGGCUCGCAACUGACGCUCAUGCACGACAGCGUGGGGAGCAAACAGG